Serinus canaria (Common canary) is the source of this 1766-nucleotide long non-coding RNA. NCBI's taxonomy places the organism in Eukaryota, Metazoa, Chordata, Aves, Passeriformes, Fringillidae. The record is from Ensembl.
GACGGGGCUUCUGUCUCGCUGCUUUCCUGCCUCACUCUCUCCCUGCCUGCUUCCCUGCCUUCCUCUCUGCUUUCCUGCCUCCUUCGCUCCCUCAGGGUUAGGGUUACGCCUAGGGUUAGGGUCUCGGAAACCACAAAGCCCACAGCUCCAGGCACACUGCAGCCGCGAAAGGCAGCCCAAGGGGAGCGCAAAACUGCCCCAACGCGCCUGCCUCCACGGCUUUUUCCUCAGAGGCAGCCCUAGGCCAGGGGCUAGGGCUUCCUGCCUCCCUCUCUCCCUGCCUGCUUCCCUGCCUUCCUCUCUGCUGGCUUGCUUGCUUUCUUUCCCCCGUCCCUGCUGGCUUUCCUCCCUCUCUCCCUGCCUGCCCUCCCGUUCUCUUCCCUCCCUGCCUGCUUUCCUCCCUGCCUCCCUUACACUGAAAUAAAGACUUGCAUUCAUUUGAGCCUUCUGAGAAUUUCCAGCACGUGUCACGAUGCGCUGAGAUGUCGAAUUCCUGUGAAUUCACACAGUUUUGUUGUUUCUUUUCAGAGAAACGCGUGUGUCUGUGGUUUACACUACAGCCAUGAUAACUCCUCUUGUUGUGAGAUUAUUUGUAAGAUGUAUGCUAUUCAAAGGGUCUUUGAUAAUAAGCACGUUUGAGUACUUUGAUUGGCUUGAUAUAAAUAUAUAUUUAUAUGUAUAUUAAAAAGAAAAGCACAUUCAGAGUGGCAAGCCAGUCUGAAUUGGAAAAACCUUGCAACAGGGAGUUGCUAGAAAGCAUUUGAAACUUAAAUGUAGAUCUGAAAUAUUGCAGGGCUUGUAGUGCUUUAUUAUGGAACUGUUCAUUUGAAAGGUUGUUUUUGCUGGAUUUUCCCCCAAUUUUAGGUAACAGUGGAUAAUACAAGUAGGAACUUGGAUGAAAUUUCAAGGCCUGCAUCUAGCUCAACCUAUUUGUAGAUCUUUAAGUACAUCAAUGGAGUUAACAACACCAGAACCAUGUUUGCAAGAGGUUGAUUCACCCGUCAGUUUGGCUGAUGGUUAUCAGAGAGGUGGUCUAGAAGAUGGCUGUCCAGCAGAAAACAAAGGUGAUGACAGAGAUAAAUCUGAUGCCCAGGAAGUAAGAACUGAUCAGCAAACAGUGGAGAGUGUGACCAUCUCUCUUCACAAGUGUCUAUGGAAUCCCGAUGAGUUGUCAGGAUGUACCUCUGCUUCAGAUUCUCGAGAUGAAAGCACUGAAACACAAAUGUUGAAAUUCUGUGAACCUUCUCCAGGACAACCAAGAAAUGCAAAGUCAGAUACAACUUCACAAACUUUGAAAUCUUGUGAGCCUUCCCCAGGAAAACCAGACUUGUCUGACUUGGAAUGUCCUGAAGACAUGGACACAGAUGCUCGGAUUCAAGCAGCUAUAAGGAAAAUGCAUAAACUUGACACAAUACUUGAAAAACGGUGUUUUAAGGAAAAAGCAGUUAAAAAGCAAGGCAGAGAAAUGAGGGCAAUGCUCUGGGAAGAACUUCAGUGUAUCAGAACCACAGGAAGCAAUGAGGAGGUGGAAAACACAAACCAGUUAUUAGUGUUCUCACCAUGGCAUAAUACAGCUGAUCUCUCCCAUGCUAAAGAAGAUGAAAUAUGCACUUCAGUAUUUCACAUGCACGCAAAUCCUGAAGAUUAUAAUUGCCAUAAAGCCCAAGAAAACCAGGGUAAGCUUUAUUAAUGGUAGAGUUUGCAUUUUUAGAAAUGGCAAAACGACAUGUGCAAUGGGUGGGUAAUGAAGACUCAGCCUAUUUGGC